This 254-nucleotide ribosomal RNA is filed under the name uncultured bacterium. Its description in RNAcentral is "partial 16S ribosomal RNA". It matches the Rfam family "Bacterial small subunit ribosomal RNA", at positions 524 to 776 of the family's 1533-position model. The record is from RNAcentral.
UACGUAGGGUGCGAGCGUUGUCCGGAAUUAUUGGGCGUAAAGAGCUCGUAGGCGGUGUGUCACGUCGGCCGUGAAAACCUGCAGCUUAACUGUGGGCGUGCGGUCGAUACGGGCAUCACUGGAGUUCGGCAGGGGAGACUGGAAUUCCUGGUGUAGCGGUGAAAUGCGUAGAUAUCAAGUGGAACACCAGUGGCGAAGGCGAGUCCCUGGACAACUCCUGACACUGAGGCACGAAAGCUAGGGGAGCAAACGGG